GACGAACGCUGGCGGCGUGCUUAACACAUGCAAGUCGAACGGAAAGGCCUCUUUCGGGGGGUACUCGAGUGGCGAACGGGUGAGUAACACGUGAGUAACCUGCCCUUGACUUUGGGAUAACUUCAGGAAACUGGGGCUAAUACCGGAUAGGAGCUCCUGCUGCAUGGUGGGGGCUGGAAAGUUUCGGCGGUUGGGGGUGGACUCGCGGCUUAUCAGCUUGUUGGUGGGGUAGUGGCUUACCAAGGCUUUGACGGGUAGCCGGCCUGAGAGGGUGACCGGCCACAUUGGGACUGAGAGACGGCCCAGACUCCUACGGGAGGCAGCAGUGGGGAAUAUUGCACAAUGGGUGGAAGCCUGAUGCAGCAACGCCGUGUGCGGGAUGACGGCCUUCGGGUUGUAAACCGCUUUCGCUCAUGACGAAGCUUUGUGUGACGGUAGUGGGUAAAGAAGCACCGGCUAACUACGUG
This 467-nucleotide ribosomal RNA is filed under the name uncultured bacterium. RNAcentral describes it as "partial 16S ribosomal RNA". It matches the Rfam family "Bacterial small subunit ribosomal RNA", at positions 28 to 507 of the family's 1533-position model. The record is from RNAcentral.